This 321-nucleotide ribosomal RNA is filed under the name uncultured eukaryote. RNAcentral's name for it is "partial 18S ribosomal RNA". It matches the Rfam family "Eukaryotic small subunit ribosomal RNA", at positions 1470 to 1796 of the family's 1831-position model. The record is from RNAcentral.
CCCUUAGAUGUUCUGGGCCGCACGCGCGCUACACUGAUACAAUCAACAAGUUGUCUCCUGAAUCGAAAGAUUUGGGUAAUCUUGGGAAAUUGUAUCGUGAUAGGGCUUGACGAUUGUAACUAUUUGUCACAAACGAGGAAUUCCUAGUAAGCGCAAGUCAUCAACUUGCACUGAUUACGUCCCUGCCCUUUGUACACACCGCCCGUCGCUCCUACCGAUUGAAUGGUCCGGUGAAAUCUCGGGACGGCGGCUUGGUCGCUUGCGUCCGACUGCUGAAACUUGAUUAAACCAUAUCAUUUAGAGGAAGGUGAAGUCGUAACA